RNAcentral lists this ribosomal RNA (406 nucleotides) under uncultured bacterium. RNAcentral describes it as "partial 16S ribosomal RNA". It matches the Rfam family "Bacterial small subunit ribosomal RNA", at positions 29 to 526 of the family's 1533-position model. The record is from RNAcentral.
AUUGAACGCUGGCGGCAGGCCUAACACAUGCAAGUCGAGCGAGCGGCGGACGGGUGCGUAAUGUCUGGGAAACUGCCUGCUGGAGGGGGAUAACUACUGGAAACGGUAGCUAAUACCGCAUACCAUCAGAUGUGCCCAGAUGGGAUUAGCUAGUAGGUGGGGUAACGGGUCACCUAGGCGACGAUCCCUAGCUGGUCUGAGAGGAUGACCAGCGACACGGGAACUGAGACACGGGCCAGACUCCUACGGGAGGCAGCAGUGGGGAAUAUUGCACAAUGGGCACAAGCCUGAUGCAGCCAUGCCGCGUGUGUGAAGAAGGCCUUCGGGUGGUAAAGCCCUUGCAGCGGGGAGGCGUUACCCGCAGAAGAAGGACCGGCUAACUCCGUGCCAGCAGCCGCGGUAAUUC